This is a long non-coding RNA of Syngnathoides biaculeatus (alligator pipefish), 1211 nucleotides long. RefSeq lists it as uncharacterized. The record is from RefSeq and is a predicted model, not a curated record. The transcript has 5 exons. Lineage: Eukaryota; Metazoa; Chordata; Actinopteri; Syngnathiformes; Syngnathidae.
CCUGCAGCUUCAGCACGAGCUGUGCGGGUGUCCGCGCAGGUGCGCUGAUUGGAAGGUGCACACCUGCGCAUCAUGCAGCCUGAUUAUGCUGUGGAUUUAUAUGACCGCGAUGACAACUGGCCGGCGCCAGUUCGCAUGAUCUUCAUGUCCCGUUCGUGUGCUCCGGUAUCCCUGAUCGAACCUGUGUAUACCGACCUUCGCCCGUUCUCCGACCACCCUUAGUUCCUGCAUUUGGGUCCUACUCUCGUUCCGAUGGGACGUGACAGAUAGAUAGAUUUACAGUACAAAAAUAGGGUUGCGGGGAGUGCUGGAGCCUAUUCCAGCUGUCAACGGGCAGGAGGCGGGGGACAACCUGAAGUGGUUGCCAGCCAAUUGCAGGGCACAUUAAGCGAAAAAACAGCUGCACUAAAAAUAGCACUUAGGGGCAAUUUAGAGUGUUCAAUUAACGUUGCAUGUUUGCAUGUGGGAGGAAACCAGAGUUGCCUGGAGAAAACCCACACAGGCACAGGGGUAGAACAUGCAAACUCCACACAGGCGGAGCCGGGAUCGAAACCGGGUCCUCAGAACUGUGAAGCCAACGUUUUACCAGCUGAUACACCGUGCUGCCGAGGAUGAAAAUGAAGGCAAUUAUAGUUCAGGAGGCUGUAUCUACCAGACAGACGUAAAGUACGUAUGCAACAGCACUGUGGAUCAGUGUUUUCUUCCCAAAAUAAGAUAACGUGCACACUCUUCUUUAAUCCUAUCUAUUAUUCACCAUGAGCAGGUGGGGCAGGGUGCAGAACUACAGCGAUGAAUGAAAGGAGAUGUGUGCAUGUUUGGUUGAGAUUGAUUAACAACAAAGGAUCACCCCUCCACCCCCACAAUCCUGUGUGUAGCUCUUCCGCUUGCUCUUGACCAAUGAAUGAAAAUUAUGCAGCGAGCCGUUGAGCUGAAGUACGAGCCAGACAAAGACGACAAUGAAGGGGGUGGCCCUAAGUCUUGCUUCAAGGUGGACUUGUGUCCAUACAUGCACCAAAUACCGGUAUCAGUACAGUACUGAGUGGGAGGAAGCCAAAGCACGAGAGAAACGUGCAAACUCCACACUGAAAGGCUGCAACAAAGAAUGAGGCAGGCAUUCUACUCACUACACUACAGUGCUUCUUGUUAACCAAUGAUGACAAAGAUGUACUCAUCUUGAAGAUAUGACCAAUCACAACAAUGCAGAAAUGAUA